UCUCAAUAAUGCAAUUCCAAUAGAUCUUUCUGACCCUCCACUGUGGACUCAAUAGCAGGGAGAUGAAGAGGAAAGUGACUUGAGAGA
Small nucleolar RNA from Erinaceus europaeus (western European hedgehog), 87 nucleotides. NCBI's taxonomy places the organism in Eukaryota, Metazoa, Chordata, Mammalia, Eulipotyphla, Erinaceidae. The record is from Ensembl.